Molecule: ribosomal RNA, 500 nt
Filed under: uncultured Glomeromycotina
Lineage: Eukaryota; Fungi; Glomeromycota
Description: partial small subunit ribosomal RNA
Rfam family: Eukaryotic small subunit ribosomal RNA
Source: RNAcentral
CCAAUAGCGUAUAUUAAAGUUGUUGCAGUUAAAAAGCUCGUAGUUGAAUUUCGAGAUCAAUUUUCUUGGUCAUACCUUUGUAUGUACUGGUCUUAUUGAUUUCUCCCUUCUGAUGAACCAUGAUGUCAUUAAUUUGGUGUUAUGGGGAAUCAGGACUAUUACUUUGAAAAAAUUAGAGUGUUUAAAGCAGGCUCACGCUUGAAUACAUUAGCAUGGAAUUAUGAACUAGGACGUUUGAUUCUAUUUUGUUGGUUUCUAGGAUUGACGUAAUGAUUAAUAGGGAUAGUUGGGGGCAUUAGUAUUCAAUUGUCAGAGGUGAAAUUCUUGGAUUUAUUGAAGACUAACUACUGCGAAAGCAUUUGCCAAAGAUGUUUUCAUUAAUCAAGAACGAAAGUUAGGGGAUCGAAGACGAUCAGAUACCGUCGUAGUCUUAACCAUAAACUAUGCCGACUAGGAAUCGGAUGAUGUUAAUUUUUUAAUGACUCAUUCGGCGCCUUACG